This 270-nucleotide ribosomal RNA is filed under the name Escherichia coli. Its description in RNAcentral is "partial 16S ribosomal RNA". It matches the Rfam family "Bacterial small subunit ribosomal RNA", at positions 1022 to 1298 of the family's 1533-position model. Lineage: Bacteria; Pseudomonadati; Pseudomonadota; Gammaproteobacteria; Enterobacterales; Enterobacteriaceae. The record is from RNAcentral.
GGGAAAGCAGAGACAGGUGGUGCAUGGUUGUCGUCAGCUCGUGUCGUGAGAUGUUGGGUUAAGUCCCGCAACGAGCGCAACCCCUAUUGUUAGUUGCUACGCAAGAGCACUCUAGCGAGACUGCCGUUGACAAAACGGAGGAAGGUGGGGACGACGUCAAAUCAUCAUGCCCCUUAUAUCCUGGGCUACACACGUAAUACAAUGGCGGUCAACAGAGGGAAGCAAAGCCGCGAGGCAGAGCAAACCCCCAAAAGCCGUCCCAGUUCGGAU